UUGAGUUUUGUAUCUGGCUUACUUAAAUCCUUGUGAGUUAUGAAGUUCCUUAGGAUAGAUAAUUCAAAUUAGAUUUAAGUACUCUUGGGGGAGGGGACUACGGAGUGAAACUACUUAAAUUUUCUAAGUAUAAAGUUUAAAUCUAAAAUAGCAAAACAGGAUUAAGAUAAAUGUGGGCAUAAUUAGGUGUAUUGACAUGCCUUUGAUGUAUCAAACUGAGGGGGAACCCACUAAAUCCAGUCAAGCAGUUUCAUAAUAUCUUCACAAAAUGCCUCUACUUACGGAAUCAUGUUGAUUUUAGUCCUGCUGAUGUGUGUACCGUUACCACUUUGGUUUAUCAAUAUUUGACUGGCUCAAAUGAUGGAUAGAAGGGUAGCCUGGUUAUAGACAGUAGGCAGAAGGAGGCAGAGGGUUACAGUAAUGUAAGAUCAAGACUGGAAAAUGAUAGCUAUAGAAUUACAAGCCCGGUACCACCAGGUACCACAUCACAUAAGAAAAAAGAUUCUAAUGUUUUCUUAACUUAACAGCAAACCAGUCCAGCUACGGGGGCCCAGCCAGCCAGCAGCUGAGUGGGGGUUACGGAGGCGGCUACGGUGGCCAGAGCAGCAUGAGUGGAUACGACCAAGUUUUACAGGAAAACUCCAGUGAUUUUCAAUCAAACAUUGCAUAGGUAACCAAGGAGCAGUGAACAGCAGCUACUACAGUAGUGGAAGCCGUGCAUCUAUGGGCGUGAACGGAAUGGGAGGGAUGUCUAGCAUGUCCAGUAUGAGUGGUGGAUGGGGAAUGUAAUUGAUCGAUCCUGAUCACUGACUCUUGGUCAACCUUUUUUUUUUUUUUUUUUAAGAAAAAAACUUCAGUUUAACAGUUUAUGCAAUACAAGCUUGUGAUUUAUGCUUACUCUAAGUGGAUAUCAGGAUUGUUAUGAAGACUUAAGGCCCA
RNAcentral lists this long non-coding RNA (939 nucleotides) under Gorilla gorilla gorilla (western lowland gorilla). RNAcentral's name for it is "lncRNA (ENSGGOG00000044673.1)". Lineage: Eukaryota; Metazoa; Chordata; Mammalia; Primates; Hominidae. The record is from RNAcentral.